Venturia canescens is the source of this 1410-nucleotide long non-coding RNA. RefSeq lists it as uncharacterized. NCBI's taxonomy places the organism in Eukaryota, Metazoa, Arthropoda, Insecta, Hymenoptera, Ichneumonidae. The transcript has 3 exons. The record is from RefSeq and is a predicted model, not a curated record.
UCUUGGAUUCGAUCUGGUGAUCGAUCAUCCUUAAUAUUGAAACUUGCAUCCGAACGUGUGGGAAGUAUAAAACUGAAAACAUUCAAAUGAGUCGAAUAAAAACCGAUGAGUACGCACCAAGAUCAUUCGACACUUAAGUUGAACGAAGGAAAAUUCUUUCCUUUUAAAAUUACCGAUUAAGCGCCUAUCAGGUGAGCGAUUAGGCGGAACGGUGCAGGCUCGUUGAGAAAGAUCGCGAGAUUAUUAAAUCCCAAAAAGACAAGAGUAUCGACGCUCCACGAGAGCCAAGGGAAGGAAAAAAAGAAAAAUUGUUAAAAAAACUACGACAAAUUAUAGGGAAGCGUCUCAUUACGAGUCAUUAACGAGUUUCAUGGUCCUUAGACCGAGUCAAACAGCCAUUCAUCAAUCGGAGAUCGCGCGCUUUACGAGCGCAAAAGUUGUGCGUUGAUGCCAAAGCGUGUUGGAGUGGAACAUACUCGUGACACGAGGUUGAGACACUUGCUGUGCGUCUCGGUAGCGAGGAUUGACAUUGGAGCGAUUAAAAAAUGCUGAAGAAAAAUUCGUCGAGAAAAAUGUGAUCGCAGGUAGAUGAUUUUCAAAUCGUCUCACACCAGGAUGCGUUUGAGUCAUAAAAUGACCCAUAGUCAGUGAAUUAUUUCAUUAUCUUACAUAGCUUCGAAUUUUUAUGUGCUCGAACGAUGAUGCGAUGUUUAGAUGAACGGACAGGAAGUGAGAUCGAAUGGGAGAAAAAUCUUCGUGCCUUUGUUUGCUUCGUAAAAAUUGGCCACAAAUUUAUUGAAUUAAGGACGUCGGAGGCGUCGGGGUUGGGUUUUUGAAAAAUUUAAUAAAAACUGUUCUUGAAAUGUUUGUGAAAAAAUUGAUUUUCUCAAUCCUUUUAUCUCCGGGAUCGACGAGAUAAAAAUAAUUGUAAAAAAUGAGGGAAAAUGAGAAAAUAGCCUGCGAAAUGGAGCGAAAUUGGUGUUCGAUGUAUUUUUAGUCGAGUUUGAUCAGCGUUGGAAAAAGCGUCGGAAAAGUUUGAACCUUUCAAAUCAUUCGAUUUGCAUCCUUGAAGUGGCAGUUUAAUAUUUUUACAUCGACGAUACUUCCGGAAAUGUCAAGUUAAAAAACUCUUCACUUGCGGAAUGGAACGUAAAACAACUUUGUAAAAUGUCAAAACCGUUGACGAAGUGUUUAUUUCAAGAAUUUUGUUCCUGCAAAUGGAACAUUGCAGAUUUAUUUUUAGUCGAUUUGUUAGUUCUUUUUCCUUUCUCUACUACAAAAUGUUUGAAUUCUCGUGUCACUUUGAAUGUAUUUGUUACGAUCGAAGAGAAAAAGAAACACUGCCAUCCAAUGAGAUGUUGAGAAUAUAAACAAAUCAAAUUUCUUCAUUGUCUGAUGUAAUGAUUUUUG